Molecule: ribosomal RNA, 292 nt
Filed under: uncultured bacterium
Lineage: Bacteria
Description: partial 16S ribosomal RNA
Rfam family: Bacterial small subunit ribosomal RNA
Source: RNAcentral
GUGCCAGCAGCCGCGGUAAUACGGAGGGGGCAAGCGUUAUUCGGAAUCAUUGGGCGUAAAGGGCGCGUAGGCGGCUUGGCAAGUCAAAGGUGAAAUCCCUCGGCCCAACCGAGGAACUUCCUUUGAUACUGCCAAGCUCGAGGCCGGGAGAGGGUAGCGGAAUUCCCAGUGUAGCGGUGAAAUGCGUAGAUAUUGGGAGGAACACCAGUGGCGAAGGCGGCUACCUGGACCGGUUCUGACGCUGAUGCGCGAAAGCGUGGGGAGCAAACAGGAUUAGAUACCCCCGUAGUCC